MicroRNA precursor from Xenopus tropicalis (tropical clawed frog), 87 nucleotides. Ensembl annotates it as xtr-mir-132. Its record names the gene xtr-mir-132. The record is from Ensembl. NCBI's taxonomy places the organism in Eukaryota, Metazoa, Chordata, Amphibia, Anura, Pipidae.
CUGUCUCCAGGGCAACCGUGGCUUUAGAUUGUUACUGUAGUUCUGCAUUGGUAACAGUCUACAGCCAUGGUCGCUCGGGCAAGAUGC